GAUGAACGCUGGCGGCGUGCUUAACACAUGCAAGUCGAACGGUCAAGGCGGAGCUUGCUCUGCUGGAUCAGUGGCGAACGGGUGAGUAACACGUGAGCAAUCUGCCCCUGACUCUGGGAUAAGCGCUGGAAACGGCGUCUAAUACUGGAUACGAGCUGCGAAGGCAUCUUCAGCAGCUGGAAAGAAUUUCGGUCAGGGAUGGGCUCGCGGCCUAUCAGCUUGUUGGUGAGGUAAUGACUCACCAAGGGGUCGACGGCUAGCCGGCCUGAGAGGGUGAACGGCGUCACGAGGACUGAGGGAGGGCCCAGUAGCCAACCGGAGGCAACAGGGGAGAGUAUUGCGCAGUGGGGGAGAGCCUGAGACAGCAACGCCGCGUGAGGGAAGACGGCCUUCGAGUGGUAAACCUCUGUUAGCGGGGAAGAAGCGAAAGUGACGGUACCUGCAGAGAAAGCGCCGGCUAACUACGUG
This 468-nucleotide ribosomal RNA is filed under the name uncultured bacterium. RNAcentral's name for it is "partial 16S ribosomal RNA". It matches the Rfam family "Bacterial small subunit ribosomal RNA", at positions 28 to 507 of the family's 1533-position model. The record is from RNAcentral.